CCCUUAGAUGUCCGGGGCUGCACGCGCGCUACACUGAAGGAAUCAGCGUGCUAAAACCAUUGUCGAAAGGCAUUGGUAAACCCAUUAAAAUCCUACGUGAUUGGGAUCGGGAAUUGCAAUUAUUUCCCUUGAACGAGGAAUGCCCAGUAAGUGUGGGUCAUAAGCUCGCGUUGAUUACGUCCCUGCCCUUUGUACACACCGCCCGUCGCUGCCCGGGACUGAGCCGUUUCGAGAAAAGCGGGGACUGCUGCUGUCGGGGCUUUCGGGCCUUGGCUUCGGUGGAAACCGCUUUAAUCGCAGUGGCUUGAACCGGGCAAAAGUCGUAACA
RNAcentral lists this ribosomal RNA (328 nucleotides) under uncultured eukaryote. RNAcentral describes it as "partial 18S ribosomal RNA". It matches the Rfam family "Eukaryotic small subunit ribosomal RNA", at positions 1470 to 1796 of the family's 1831-position model. The record is from RNAcentral.